GAUGAACGCUGGCGGCGUGCCUAAUACAUGCAAGUCGAGCGAACAGACGAGGAGCUUGCUCCUCUGACGUUAGCGGCGGACGGGUGAGUAACACGUGGAUAACCUACCUAUAAGACUGGGAUAACUUCGGGAAACCGGAGCUAAUACCGGAUAAUAUAUUGAACCGCAUGGUUCAAUAGUGAAAGACGGUUUUGCUGUCACUUAUAGAUGGAUCCGCGCCGCAUUAGCUAGUUGGUAAGGUAACGGCUUACCAAGGCAACGAUGCGUAGCCGACCUGAGAGGGUGAUCGGCCACGCUGGAACUGAGACACGGUCCAGACUCCUACGGGAGGCAGCAGUAGGGAAUCUUCCGCAAUGGGCGAAAGCUUGACGGAGCAACGCCGCGUGAGUAAUGAAGGUCUUCGGAUCGUAAAACUCUGUUAUUAGGGAAGAACAAAUGUGUAAGUAACUAUGCACGUCUUGACGGUACCUAAUCAGAAAGCCACGGCUAACUACGUG
This 497-nucleotide ribosomal RNA is filed under the name uncultured bacterium. Its description in RNAcentral is "partial 16S ribosomal RNA". It matches the Rfam family "Bacterial small subunit ribosomal RNA", at positions 28 to 507 of the family's 1533-position model. The record is from RNAcentral.